GGCUAGCUGAGCUGGUAGAGAGCUCCACUGAAAAUGGAGAGGUCCCUGGUUCGCACCAGUAGCCU
This 65-nucleotide transfer RNA is filed under the name Ixodes scapularis (black-legged tick). RNAcentral's name for it is "tRNA-Phe". Lineage: Eukaryota; Metazoa; Arthropoda; Arachnida; Ixodida; Ixodidae. The record is from RNAcentral.